RNAcentral lists this ribosomal RNA (296 nucleotides) under uncultured bacterium. Its description in RNAcentral is "partial 16S ribosomal RNA". It matches the Rfam family "Bacterial small subunit ribosomal RNA", at positions 64 to 387 of the family's 1533-position model. The record is from RNAcentral.
GAACGCCCUAACAGUAGGGAGUGGCAUAUCGGUGAGUAACGCGUGGGAACCUACCCUUCGGUCUGGAAUAACCCAGGGAAACUUGUGCUCAUACCGGAUACGUGCUACAGCAUAAAGAUUUAUCGGGGAAGGAUCGGCCCGCGUCCGAUUAGCUAGUUGGUGAGGUAAAAGCUCACCACCGCGACUAUCGGUAGCUGGUCUGAGAGGAUGAUCAACCACACUGGGACUGAGACACGGCCCAAACUCCUACGGGCAGGGAGCAGUGGGGAAUAUUGGACCAUGGGCGAAACCCUGAU